RNAcentral lists this unclassified non-coding RNA (4147 nucleotides) under Penaeus monodon (black tiger shrimp). RNAcentral's name for it is "formin-like protein, transcript variant X4". Lineage: Eukaryota; Metazoa; Arthropoda; Malacostraca; Decapoda; Penaeidae. The record is from RNAcentral.
UCUUUUUUCUCUCCACAGGCAUCCAUGGAUUUGCCGCCAGACAAAGCCAAACUCCUGAAACAAUACGACGACGUCAAAAAGUGGGACAUGAUAUGCGACCAGGAGCGGGUGAGCGCGAAGGACCCGCCCUCGCACUACCUCAACAAGCUCAAGACCUACCUUGAUCCUAAGGCUUCCAGGUCAAGCAGGAAACGCAAAAUGGUCGGUGAGUCUACAUCUACACAAGUUUUAAGGGAUCUAGAGAUCUCCCUUAGAACAAACCACAUCGAGUGGGUCCGGGAGUUCUUGAGUGAAGAAAACCAAGGACUAGAUGUUCUAGUGGACUAUUUAACCUUUAGACUCAUGAUGCUCAGACAUGAGCAGAGAUUACGAGAGAGUCUAGAAGAUGAAGAGGAAUCGAAAAACAUAAACGGUCAACUGAAACCAUCAGUUGAAAUUAACUCCCCACGAAUGAAACGAGCGUCACGACAUGUACAGAAGCUAAACAUGGGAGAUUCGAAGGAUGACAUCCAUGUCUGCAUCAUGUGCUUGAGGGCUAUCAUGAACAACAAAUAUGGAUUCAACCUAGUUUUCGAACAUCGAGAAGCCAUCAGUUGUAUUGCACUAAGUCUUAAUCAUAGGAGUUUAAGGACAAAGGCACUAGUCCUAGAGCUCUUAGCAGCCAUCUGUUUAGUGAAGGGAGGACAUGAAAUCAUUCUCAAUGCUUUCAAUAACUUCAAGGAUGUCUGCUCUGAGACACAACGUUUCCAGACACUCAUGAAUUAUUUCUCAAACUAUGACUGUUUUUACAUUGAAUUCAUGGUGGCAUGUAUGCAGUUCAUCAACAUUGUGGUACACAGUGUAGAGGACAUGAACUUCCGUGUACAUCUGCAGUAUGAAUUCACACAGCUAGGCCUUGAUGACUACCUGGAGAAGCUAAGACACCACGAAAGCGAAGAAUUACAGAUUCAAAUUUCUGCAUACCUCGAUAAUGUUUUUGAUGUUGCUGCGCUCAUGGAAGACAGCGAAACAAAGACGGCAGCACUGGAAAGGGUGGCAGAGCUGGAAGAUGAACUCUCACACUUGGCAGAGAGGAUGUCUGAAAUGGAAGCAGAAUCACUUGCUAAACUAGUGGAACUGGAAGGAGAGUUGGUAGAGUUACGCAGGCAAAAAGAGGAAUUGGAAAACGUUAAUAGCCAGGUUCAAGAGGAAGUAUCAACUCUACGAAGGGAAGUGAACCAGAAGAGUGAGGAGUCACGGCAAAGACAGUCAUUAUUGGAGAAGCAGAUUGUAGAACUCGAAACACUUGCUCGCUCAAAAUCUCAUAAAACCAGUGGCGAUAUCUUUGAUGGGCCAGGGCCAGCUCCUCCACCCCCACCACCACCACCUCCCCCCAGUGUUGGGAUGGCUCCCGCUCCACCACCACCACCACUUCCAGGUACUGGUGGUUGUCCACCUGCACCUCCCAAAUUACCAUUUGGUAUGGUGAGUGGCCCCAGACCCCCUCCACCCAUACCUCCUUCCAUGGCAGCUGCUGUCAUGUCUCCUCCUGACUCCAUGACCAUCAAGAAGAAGGUCAACACCAAAUACAAGCUUCCGACACUCAACUGGGUGGCAUUGAAACCUAACCAGGUGAGAGGGACGGUCUUCAACGAACUAGACGAUGAGAAGCUCUUUAACUGCAUAGACUUCUCUGACUUCGAAGAGCACUUUAAGAUUGGCCAAGGGGGCCCAGGAAUGGCCAAUGGGGAUGUUUCAGAGGUCGACGCACUCCAUGGAUUUGGGAGCAAGAGAUUCAAGAAGCCUGAAUUAACCUCCUUGAUGGAACACACACGGUUGAGAAAUAUUGCCAUCUCCAGGCGAAAACUGGAUCUGCCAUUUGACAUAGUUAGCAGAGCCAUCAAUUCGUUAGACUUAAAGACGCUGAGUGUAGAGAGUGUGGAACUCCUUCAGCGCAUGAUACCCAAUGAUUCAGAGGUCAAGGCGUAUCGUGAGUACGAACGUGAUCGGAAACCUGUGAACCAGCUGACAGAUGAAGACCAGUACAUGCUCCAGCUCAGCAAGGUGGACAGACUGAGUACCAAACUACAGAUUAUGAGCUUUAUUGCCAACUUCUUUGACAGUGUACAUACUGUCACUCCACAAGUUCAUGCAAUCAUCACAGCAUCGCGCUCAGUUAGAAAUAGUAACAAGUUGAAAAAAGUACUUGAAGUAAUUCUUGCUUUUGGUAACUACAUGAAUAGCAGCAAACGUGGUCCAGCGUAUGGCUUCAAACUUUCGAGUCUGGAUACUUUGUGUGAUACAAAGUCAGCGGACAAAAAGAUGAGUGUGAUGCAUUACAUUCAGGAAACCAUGAGAGCGAAGUUCCCAGAUAUCACUAAUUUCGACGCAGAACUAAGGUUUAUUGAAAAGGCUGCACAGGUAUCACUGGAGAAUAUUAUCACAGAUGUCAGUGAACUAGAAAAGGGUAUGGAGCAAGCAAAGAAGGAAUAUGAACGGGGAAGAGACAUGAGGAGUGUGGAGGGACAGGCUGCAUCUAGUGUGCUCAAGGAUUUCUUGAGUAAUUCAGAGGAAAAGUUGAAAAAGUUGAAAGCGGAGGCCAAGACAGCACAAGCGGCCUUUGCAGAAGUGUUAGAGUACUAUGGAGAGAGCUCAAGAAGUAUGGCUCCUAACACCUUCUUUGCCAUUUUUGUCCGUUUCACCAAAACUUAUAAGAUGGUGGAGCAAGAGAAUGAGCAGCGGCGCCGAUUAGAGGCUGCCUCCAAAGCAGCAGCUCUGAACCAACAGAAGCAACAACAGCAGCAGCAAGAAAGUCAGCAGGUGGUUAGAAACAACAAAAUCAAUGCACGUAAACAACAGAAAUUCCGAAUGGGAGUCCGCAUCACAAGUGUAUAAAAGAGCUACAUCCGUCCACAUGCUCUGUCUGUUUACCCCCAUGGUCGCCAGGUGAAUGCAACGCUCUGUGCAAAUACAGGAGGCGCUGAUGAGUGAAAUGAAGGCGCGUGGUGUGGUUGCAGAUAAACGCCUUCUUUCUCAAGAGGACGUUUACCAUGGAGCUCUUGAGGAUAUCCUCAUUGGCCUGAAAAAUGAGCCAUACCGACGAGCUGAUGCAGUAAGGAGAAGCCAGAGGAAACGUAAUGAAAAUGUGAGACUCUCCCGUACUUUGGAUGACAUGGAAUUUUAAGCAUUUUAUGCAAAGAAAAAAAAAUUAUUGCAAUAUCUUUCCAAGUUUCAAAAUCUUCUGUCAAGUCUUAUUAUGACUGGGUAGUGCAGUGUCUUUUUCUUUUUUUGAUAAGAGAAAAGUGAUUUAGAGAAUGAUAUAAACAUUCACUUCACCUUUGGGAAAGAUUGUUGCUUCCAGUGAUACCACUUUUUUUUCAAAUUUAAAGUGUUUUUCUCAGAAACUGAUUCAGAGGAAGGUGUGAUGCAUGCAAAACACUUUGAUAGACAUGGACUUGACUUGCAAAUGUUUGUUCACCACAGGACAAAGGUAUAAAGCAUUCCAGCUAAAAUUAGUUGCUACUUACAUAAUUUUUAAUGGAUUGCCCAUCCAUGAUGACUGAAGUCUCAUUAUAUUAGUCCUACAGAAAAAAGAUAAAGCAUUAAAGAUAUAAAAAAAAGUCUUCAGAGAUCAUGUAAUGCCAGAAUUUCUGUUUAGAUAUUUGUUUAUAGAUUUUCUUUUAAGUUUUGGUAUUAUUAUCUUCUGCUAUAACAAAUAUGUAGUUAAUGAGUGACAAUCAAGAAGUUCAGCAUAAGAAACAAAAUUUGAAAAUAUUUUAUUAGAUGCCUGUAUUAGAUUUAUAUGAGUGGAUCCUUUUAGGUUAAAAAUCAUAUAUAUAUAUAUAUAUAUGUUAAUUUUUGUAGCUAAUACAAAAGAGGAAAUAUAAAAGAGAAUGAGGAUGGUCCAAUACAUUGAGAAUAUUUCAGAGGAUGGAUUGAUAAGUACUUUUGCCUUGUUAUUUAGGACUGGAGUGAUGGUCUGAGCAGUGGCUGAAUCUCUGCAUUGUGCCUCGGUACGGUAUGCCUUCCAGCAGUAGAAAGUGCGUGGUUUAGAGAUGGCUGAAUCUACGUUUAAACUUUGUGAGGUUUUUGUCAUGUCAUAGGCACAACGACAACUUUUAUGGAGUUGUAAAGUCAUUUUUUUAGGAAAGAAAAAUAUUGUUGGUGG